CCCUACGGGGCGCAGCAGGCGCGAAAACUCUACAAUGCAGGCAACUGCGAUAGGGGAACAUCGAGUGAUACUCAUAUUGGGUGUCUGUCCUCCCGUCUAAAAAACGGGAGUUAGCAAGGGCCGGGCAAGACCGGUGCCAGCCGCCGCGGUAAUACCGGCGGCUCGAGUGGUGGCCGAUAUUAUUGAGUCUAAAGGGUCCGUAGCCGGCUUUGCAAGUCUUUUGGGAAAUCCAGCGGCUUAACCGUUGGUCGUCCGGGAGAUACUACAUUGCUUGGGACUGGGAGAGGUAAGAGGUACUCAGGGGGUAGGAGUGAAAUCCUGUAAUCCA
Molecule: ribosomal RNA, 328 nt
Filed under: uncultured archaeon
Lineage: Archaea
Description: bacterial SSU rRNA
Rfam family: Archaeal small subunit ribosomal RNA
Source: RNAcentral